ACUCCUACGGGAGGCAGCAGUGGGGAAUAUUGCACAAUGGGCGCAAGCCUGAUGCAGCCAUGCCGCGUGUAUGAAGAAGGCCUUCGGGUUGUAAAGUACUUUCAGCAGUGAGGAAGGUGGAUAUGUUAAUAGCAUAUUCAUUUGACGUUAGCUGCAGAAGAAGCACCGGCUAACUCCGUGCCAGCAGCCGCGGUAAUACGGAGGGUGCGAGCGUUAAUCGGAAUUACUGGGCGUAAAGCGCAUGCAGGUGGUUUGUUAAGUCAGAUGUGAAAGCCCGGGGCUCAACCUCGGAAUUGCAUUUGAAACUGGCAAACUAGAGUACUGUAGAGGGGGUAGAAUUUCAGGUGUAGCGGUGAAAUGCGUAGAGAUCUGAAGGAAUACCGGUGGCGAAGGCGGCCCCCUGGACAGAUACUGACACUCAGAUGCGAAAGCGUGGGGAGCAAACAGGAUUAGAUACCCUUGUAG
This 465-nucleotide ribosomal RNA is filed under the name uncultured bacterium. RNAcentral describes it as "bacterial SSU rRNA". It matches the Rfam family "Bacterial small subunit ribosomal RNA", at positions 335 to 793 of the family's 1533-position model. The record is from RNAcentral.